RNAcentral lists this ribosomal RNA (484 nucleotides) under uncultured bacterium. RNAcentral describes it as "partial 16S ribosomal RNA". It matches the Rfam family "Bacterial small subunit ribosomal RNA", at positions 30 to 507 of the family's 1533-position model. The record is from RNAcentral.
AUUGAACGCUGGCGGCAGGCCUAACACAUGCAAGUCGAGCGGAUGAAGGGAGCUUGCUCCUGGAUUCAGCGGUGGACGGGUGAGUAAUGCCUAGGAAUCUGCCUGGUAGUGGGGGAUAACGUCCGGAAACGGGCGCUAAUACCGCAUACGUCCUGAGGGAGAAAGUGGGGGAUCUUCGGACCUCACGCUAUCAGAUGAGCCUAGGUCGGAUUAGCUAGUUGGUGGGGUAAAGGCCUACCAAGGCGACGAUCCGUAGCUGGUCUGAGAGGAUGAUCAGUCACACUGGAACUGAGACACGGUCCAGACUCCUACGGGAGGCAGCAGUGGGGAAUAUUGGACAAUGGGCGAAAGCCUGAUCCAGCCAUGCCGCGUGUGUGAAGAAGGUCUUCGGAUUGUAAAGCACUUUAAGUUGGGAGGAAGGGCAGUAAGUUAAUACCUUGCUGUUUUGACGUUACCAACAGAAUAAGCACCGGCUAACUUCGUG